GUUAGUGAUUUUAAACAAUGAAAUAUGGCGGAGAUUGUGUUACAUGAGUUGUAGAUCAGAUUUUUUGUAAAAUUGCUUCCGGGUAAGGAGGUUGAUUGUAUUUCAAAAUAAAGCUGUUUAGGGGGAAAAAUCAAUACAGUCGUUAAAAUAAACAGUUUUUAAGGUUUGUUUAAUAAAAGUCAUUAUGUUGUGAUUCGAAAAGCUUGUGGGUGGCUUUCAAAAACCCUAACUGAGGUGAAAAUGGGCAAGAAUCAGAAUAAGAAUCAGAAUCAGAACCAGAAGACGAAGUAGACCAGACAAAAAGGCAGUGUGAGUAGGUGGCCUAAGGAAGGAAGAUUGCAGGCUCUUUAGGCCCUAAUGCAGAAAUCUCUGUGCAUUAACCCAAUCUAAUGGCACUGUGAGCUCUGGAUCACAUCUAUAAGCUCUUACUAAGCCUGUAUAGUGUCAAUUUAUUAUAAUGCGAAAUUAUGUCAUUGGAUCAACGUCCACUACGUGUGUAGCCACUAGGUGGCACUAGAGGGCAAAUGCAUUGACAUUCAUUUACAACGAAUCAAGCCUUGCAGGACGUGCGAGUUGUCUCGUAUUGUAUGUAUAUAUGCAUGACUAAAGGUCAUGUUGCUCACCAGGCCUUGAGGUGUUACACAAACUUGCUAUGGAGAAGAUUAAUUACAAAUAUGUUGUGUUUUCGUCUUCCUCAUGAGAAUCAGGCCUUCUGUACGUAAAAAGUACCAUCGCUUACUUAAUCCUCAGGGUCAUAUUUUUGGUUUCUUCUGUAACCACUGCAUCUUGUUCAUCAUGAAUUUCCUGUAUCUGGGUUUUAAUUCUCAGCUCACGUUUCACAUUGACACUGUUGUAACUUUUAAUUUCCACGUUUUUGACUUUCACACACUUGUUAAAUGCAGCUUUUUAAAUGGCAUCUGAUUGCGAUGCAGUGUUCACAAUGAUCACUUCAGUUAAUCAUAUACAUGAUAGCAUUUUCUGCCAUAAUUACCAUUGUGCCUUUGCCAUUCUGAUUAUCCUAGGCCAAUGGUGACACUUGUGGAAAUUAAUGACCUUUUUUUUUUUUGCCUGUACUGUAAAUGAUGCCUGCCCUACUGUUCUAUAAGGCCUCCAUGUAUGAUCCACGUGCCUCAUUCAUACUUAUACGUCAUAUAUCCUUUGUACUACGUGUUAAAUCCUUUCUAUUAUAUUUACACUAGGUAUGCUUAAUUUCCUCAUGAGGAAUAAAGUCAUCUCAGGCAUCUACUUUUUUUCCCACAGUGCAUCACACACUGGCAUCAAUUUCAGGUGACAUAGUUCAAUGUUUUGACUGUUCAGUUUUAACUGAUCUUCCUGGUAUUGGGAGCAGGUAAGAAGAAUCCCAGCCAGUGGCAAUAUUUAGGUAUGACACCAGGCUUGUGACAUUUAUAGAGCAGGAUGAAAAACCUACCUCCUGUAUUGUCUGUUAUGGUCUAAUCUUGGCGUGCUACUGCUGUGGCUACUCCGUGCUGUCUCUGUGUUACGACACUGACCAGGUGCUGACAGGCCGGUACAUCAGAGUAAAGGGAAGGUAUGAGGCGACACCAGGGAAGUGCAUGGAAAAGGAGAUUGAUGCACAACACUGUUUGUCAUGAUCCCCAGGCAUGUGUGUUAUUGGGCAAGAGUGUAUGAUGAACUGCUGUAUAGGAAAGGGCAAUGAAACAUCUGUUUUCUAAGAAGCAUUUACAUCUUCAUGCAUAUUAAACUUAAUGUCAUUUUGUUUUAUUAUUAGCCAUUUUAUCUCAAUGUGUUACAUUUGAACUUGAAUAGUGUACAUGUAAAGAAAAAUAUAUCAGCCUAGCUAAAAUAAAAA
Molecule: long non-coding RNA, 1831 nt
Organism: Tachysurus fulvidraco (yellow catfish)
Lineage: Eukaryota; Metazoa; Chordata; Actinopteri; Siluriformes; Bagridae
Exons: 3
Source: RefSeq, a predicted model, not a curated record